GGAUUAGAUACCCUGGUAGUCCACGCCCUAAACGAUGUGUGCUAGUUGUCGGGGUCUUACGACUUCGGUGACGCAGCUAACGCAUUAAGCACACCGCCUGGGGAGUACGGCCGCAAGGUUAAAACUCAAAGGAAUUGACGGGGACCCGCACAAGCGGUGGAGCAUGUUGUUUAAUUCGAAGCAACGCGAAGAACCUUACCCACACUUGACAUCCUGGUCGCGGAUUUCAGAGAUGAUUUCCUUCAGCUCGGCUGGACCAGUGACAGGUGCUGCAUGGCUGUCGUCAGCUCGUGCCG
Molecule: ribosomal RNA, 296 nt
Filed under: uncultured bacterium
Lineage: Bacteria
Description: partial 16S ribosomal RNA
Rfam family: Bacterial small subunit ribosomal RNA
Source: RNAcentral